Long non-coding RNA from Centruroides sculpturatus (bark scorpion), 300 nucleotides. RefSeq lists it as uncharacterized. The record is from RefSeq and is a predicted model, not a curated record. The transcript is spliced from 3 exons. Lineage: Eukaryota; Metazoa; Arthropoda; Arachnida; Scorpiones; Buthidae.
AGGAGUUUUGAACGUAACUUACAAACUUACAAGUUAUUAACAAGGCUCAAACCACCUAAAGAUGCACAUGAACAUGGUGGCCAUGUGUUUGCAGUAAUGCAUAUAGGAGCUCCCUGUUGUGGUAUGAAUGCUGCUGUUAGAUCUUUUGUAAGAAAUUGCUUAUGUCAGGGAAAUAUUGCUUUUGGUAUUCAUGAUGGUAUAGAAGGUUUAAUUGAAGGAAAUUUUCAACAAAUGAAUUGGAGUGAUGUAUCUGGUUGGGUGGGCCAAGGGGGUGCAUUUCUUGGAACAAAGAGGUAAUUA